UUUGCGAUAAAUCGAUACUAAUCUAAAACCUUAUGGUCGGUAUUACGAAUAAAGAGCUUGCCAGUGAUCUUGAAAAAGUUCGAGAAGAUAGAGAAAACGAAAAGAAAAUGGAACGUGCAUAGCCUUGCAUAUUGAAAAGCUAAUCCAUCCCAACGCGUCAGCACGUUCAUUCGUAGUAUAUACCGUGAAAAUUGUAGUUCACCCACGUGAGAUAAGCCGCACCUCGCAAAAGAACGAACGAAUGAAAGGACACGGAGGAACAUUUGAGAGAAAAGGAGAGAAAUAGAGAAGCCAGUUUGGUUGACGCGCGCGUUUUACGUGCAUAGGCACAGUGUUUACAGCUACAAGCGCUUGGUCGGUUAUUUAGUCACGCUCCAGUAAGCGUUUUCAAGAGUACGCUUUGUGACCCAUUAUGGCGCGUGUCGGGACGCGUGUCGUAGACUCGGUGCAGGGACCUGCCACGCGACGCAAAUAUAGAUGCGACUUCUCCUUUCUCUUUUUUUCCACCGAUACCUAUUUUCGAUAUCCCUUCUACUCUUUUCCUAGAGAUCCUAGAGAAAAGCCGUAAUUCAAUGGUAUUGAGAAAGCAGGCUUCUCUCGCAUCAACGGGUUGCAUCUGUCCCCGUGUGAGUCCGUGCGAGAAGAAAUAUGGCUUGAUUUUCUGAAUGACUGCGCGUGUAAGCGCGCGACUGCGGAAGCCAAGAAGAUACGAUCCGCAAAUAGUAAAGCCCGAACCGAAAAAAGACGGCGGAAAUAGAGAAAUGUUUUCCUAACCCAGAGACAAGAAUAAAUACAAGCGACGCGUAUCCGUGAAUAGAGAGAGAGAGAGAGAGGAAACUCGUCAAAAAUUAGGUGACGAGCAGCUCAUUUUUUUCAAUAGUAAAACUCGAUUCGAAUCGAGAGAAAAAAAAAGGUGAUAAAGAAAACGUCAAGCAUAUCCAUCCUACCCUCUUGUUGGCCACUGUGGAUAAUUGAAAGCGCAUCCACCGACGCGCUGAGUUUCUUCUUUUCUCGUUUAUACGAGAGUAUAUUUCGCUGCUUCGCGAGAAGAAAGAAGAUGAAAGCGCGAAAUUAACAAACCAAGCGAAGCGAAAGAAAUCAAGCAUGACGGAACAAGAACUCUAUACUUUCUUUCACACCUUUUGUUCCCCCACAUACAUAUAUUAUUUAUCUCGCUUCCUUAUAUCUUUUCUCAGUAACUACUCUACCAUUGUCGGUCGUGCAUCUUGGGUCACAUUUGAUAAAAUAAUAUUUUAUAUUCAGGAAUCAUCAAGGGUCAUAAAAGGGAUCAUCGAGGGAUAGAUCCAUCAUCGAUUUUUACGUGAGAAUACAGGAAAGAUAAAAAGAACACUCGCGCGCAUGUUGGCGAGCACAGGCCGAUUGGGUGUUCGCGGACGCAUUUAAAAUUUCUAUCGGGAACUUUGUUUUAUUUCCAUGAAAAUUCGAUUAGAUUACCUCGCGAACGCGGAUUUUAAAAUAGAGAAUGGAUCGUUAGCUCGUAGAUCUCCACAUGCAGUAACUUCUACGUAGUGAGAUUUAAGUCGGUAGUACUAGCGAAAUUUAAUCGUACACCACACUUCUUUUCUAUUUCAACGAGUAAACAUAUCUCUCCGUCUUAUUAUAUUUAUUAUUUUAUCAUAAUUAACUAUUAUUUAAACAAUACCGCAUUUAUUUAAAUAUUAUCAAGUUAAGGUAAAUUAUUAAUUUUAGCACAUAAUUCUAAUAUUUUUUUAAUGAAUCUAGGAAUAGGAUGAAAUUAUUUUAAAAACCGAAUGAUCAUUAUUUAUUGAAUGUUUUAUGUAAUGAAUAACAACAAAUAACCCAUAUACUUCGUAAAAUUAUUUACGAUUAUAUGUUGUUUUACAUAUAUACAAGUUACUAUACAAGUAAAUAGUAUCGUUAAUGAACAAUAUUUUAUAGUUUUCAAAUUAUGAAAUAUAAAUAAACGUUCGUAAAAAAUCAUGUUAUUGGAUGGGACAAACAAUUUGAAUAUUACCAAAUACAUUAGUGAUGUAGGCAUACUUUUAUUUACUAAAUAUUUUAUAUUUUUCCAAAUUUGAAUCUAUGAUUCGUCUCCUCAUUCGGAAUUUUAAGAUUUCAUAACGCGCAUAAUUUGAAAAUUGAUACAUUUGUAAAUAAGUAAAAGAUCGACUUGUCAGAAUUAGCACGAAUUAGUUAACAAUCGUUAUGAAUUAUCCAAGAAUAUUUUUCAAUGUAUUAUAAAUACUCUUUUUCUAUAUAUAUUAUAUCACUGGAAUAAUGCAUAAGAUAAUACAAUUAAUAUUUUUAAAAUGACGUUUAUCAGUUGAAAUAAUUAUAUGAUAUUACAACUUUAUCAUACUUGUAACUUGUUUAAAAAAUGGAAAAUAUACAACUGAAAUGAA
Molecule: long non-coding RNA, 2384 nt
Organism: Vespa crabro (European hornet)
Lineage: Eukaryota; Metazoa; Arthropoda; Insecta; Hymenoptera; Vespidae
Exons: 2
Source: RefSeq, a predicted model, not a curated record